UACGGGGGGGGCAAGCGUUGUUCGGAAUUAUUGGGCGUAAAGAGCUCGUAGGCGGUUUGUUGCGUCGGCUGUGAAAUCCCGAGGCUCAACCUCGGGUCUGCAGUCGAUACGAGCAAACUAGAGUGUUGCAGGGGAGACUGGAAUUCCUGGUGUAGCGGUGAAAUGCGCAGAUAUCAGGAGGAACACCGGUGGCGAAGGCGGGUCUCUGGGCAACAACUGACGCUGAGGCGCGAAAGCUAGGGGAGCAAACGGG
RNAcentral lists this ribosomal RNA (253 nucleotides) under uncultured bacterium. RNAcentral's name for it is "partial 16S ribosomal RNA". It matches the Rfam family "Bacterial small subunit ribosomal RNA", at positions 524 to 776 of the family's 1533-position model. The record is from RNAcentral.